GCGGAUGUGGCGGAAUUGGCAGACGCGCUAGAUUUAGGCUCUAGUGGGUAACACCGUGGAGGUUCAAGUCCUCUCAUCCGCACCA
RNAcentral lists this transfer RNA (85 nucleotides) under endosymbiont 'TC1' of Trimyema compressum. Its description in RNAcentral is "tRNA-Leu". It matches the Rfam family "tRNA". Rfam says of the family: Transfer RNA (tRNA) molecules are approximately 80 nucleotides in length. Their secondary structure includes four short double-helical elements and three loops (D, anti-codon, and T loops). Further hydrogen bonds mediate the characteristic L-shaped molecular structure. tRNAs have two regions of fundamental functional importance: the anti-codon, which is responsible for specific mRNA codon recognition, and the 3' end, to which the tRNAs corresponding amino acid is attached (by aminoacyl-tRNA synthetases). tRNAs cope with the degeneracy of the genetic code in two manners: having more than one tRNA (with a specific anti-codon) for a particular amino acid; and 'wobble' base-pairing, i.e. permitting non-standard base-pairing at the 3rd anti-codon position. The record is from RNAcentral. Lineage: Bacteria; Bacillati; Bacillota.